GGAGGUGUCGCAUAGUGGUAUUGCGCCGGUCUCGAAAACCGGUGGUUCCUUUUAGGGCCAGGCGGGUUCGAUUCCCGCUGCCUCCG
This 86-nucleotide transfer RNA is filed under the name Treponema sp. RNAcentral's name for it is "tRNA-Ser". It matches the Rfam family "tRNA". From Rfam's summary of the family: Transfer RNA (tRNA) molecules are approximately 80 nucleotides in length. Their secondary structure includes four short double-helical elements and three loops (D, anti-codon, and T loops). Further hydrogen bonds mediate the characteristic L-shaped molecular structure. tRNAs have two regions of fundamental functional importance: the anti-codon, which is responsible for specific mRNA codon recognition, and the 3' end, to which the tRNAs corresponding amino acid is attached (by aminoacyl-tRNA synthetases). tRNAs cope with the degeneracy of the genetic code in two manners: having more than one tRNA (with a specific anti-codon) for a particular amino acid; and 'wobble' base-pairing, i.e. permitting non-standard base-pairing at the 3rd anti-codon position. The record is from RNAcentral. Lineage: Bacteria; Pseudomonadati; Spirochaetota; Spirochaetia; Treponematales; Treponemataceae.